This 218-nucleotide long non-coding RNA is filed under the name Chloebia gouldiae (Gouldian finch). Its description in RNAcentral is "Erythrura gouldiae (Gouldian finch) lncRNA (ENSEGOG00005019600.1)". The record is from RNAcentral. Lineage: Eukaryota; Metazoa; Chordata; Aves; Passeriformes; Passeridae.
CUGGAACUGUGAUGAACUGGAACAUUUACUGGCUUUGGACUAGAGAAAUAACUUUGCUGUGUGUAAGCCAAGCCCCUUACCAGAUGGCAACACUUCAGCUGGCAUGGAUUAGGAUAGGGUGUUUUCUUGAAUUGAUUAUAACCUGGUGGAGCUGCUGGUCCCAGAUCUGUAUAUUAAGUGCCUGAUCUAAAGCCAGUUGGAACUGGGAUUCACAUAAG